This 69-nucleotide transfer RNA is filed under the name Pomadasys kaakan (javelin grunt). RNAcentral describes it as "tRNA-Arg". It matches the Rfam family "tRNA". From Rfam's summary of the family: Transfer RNA (tRNA) molecules are approximately 80 nucleotides in length. The record is from RNAcentral. Lineage: Eukaryota; Metazoa; Chordata; Actinopteri; Lutjaniformes; Haemulidae.
AGGCAUUUAGUUUAAGAAAAAUUAUUGAUUUCGACUCAAAAGCUUGUGGUUAAAGUCCACAAUUGCCUA